This is a small nucleolar RNA of Cynoglossus semilaevis (tongue sole), 69 nucleotides long. NCBI's taxonomy places the organism in Eukaryota, Metazoa, Chordata, Actinopteri, Pleuronectiformes, Cynoglossidae. The record is from Ensembl.
GGUGCAUAUGAUGGUAAUAGCGAUCAAAGUAUGAAAAGAAUGAUUCCAACUUAUAUUCACUGAUGCACU